AAACAAGAUUAUUCGCCAGAGAACUACUAGCAACAGCUUAAAAUUCAAAGGACUUGGCGGUGCUUUAAACCCCCCUAGAGGAGCCUGUUCUGUAAUCGAUAAACCCCGAUAGACCUCACCACCCCUUGCUAAUUCAGUUUAUAUACCGCCAUCUUCAGCAAACCCUUAAAAGGAACAAGAGUAAGCAUAAUCAUCUCGCAUAAAAAAGUUAGGUCAAGGUGUAACCCAUGGGGUGGGAAGAAAUGGGCUACAUUUUCUAUUUAAGAACACCUUACGAAAGUUUUUAUGAAACUAAAAACUAAAGGUGGAUUUAGUAGUAAACCAAGAAUAGAGAGCUUGGUUGAAUAGGGCAAUGAAGCACGCACACACCGCCCGUCACCC
This 381-nucleotide ribosomal RNA is filed under the name Melursus ursinus (sloth bear). Its description in RNAcentral is "partial small subunit ribosomal RNA". It matches the Rfam family "Bacterial small subunit ribosomal RNA", at positions 848 to 1402 of the family's 1533-position model. The record is from RNAcentral. Lineage: Eukaryota; Metazoa; Chordata; Mammalia; Carnivora; Ursidae.